RNAcentral lists this ribosomal RNA (860 nucleotides) under Bacillus sp. (in: firmicutes). RNAcentral describes it as "bacterial SSU rRNA". It matches the Rfam family "Bacterial small subunit ribosomal RNA", at positions 18 to 853 of the family's 1533-position model. Lineage: Bacteria; Bacillati; Bacillota; Bacilli; Caryophanales; Bacillaceae. The record is from RNAcentral.
CAUGGCUCAGGACGAACGCUGGCGGCGUGCCUAAUACAUGCAAGUCGAGCUGCCAGAAGGGAGCUUGCUCCCGGAUGUUAGCGGCGGACGGGUGAGUAACACGUGGGUAACCUGCCCGUAAGACUGGGAUAACUCCGGGAAACCGGAGCUAAUACCGGAUAGUUCCUUGAACCGCAUGGUUCAAGGAUGAAAGACGGUUUCGGCUGUCACUUACAGAUGGAUCCCCGCGAGCGCAUUUAAGCUUAGUUUGGUGGGGUAAUGGCUCACCAAGGCGACGAUGCGUAGCCGACCUGAGAGGGUGAUCGGCCACACUGGGACUGAGACACGGCCCAGACUCCUACGGGAGGCAGCAGUAGGGAAUCUUCCGCAAUGGACGAAAGUCUGACGGAGCAACGCCGCGUGAGUGAUGAAGGUUUUCGGAUCGUAAAGCUCUGCUGCUAGGGAAGAACAAGUGCGAGAGUAACUGCUCGCACCUUGACGGUACCUAACCAGAAAGCCACGGCUACCUACGUGCCAGCAGCCGCGGUAAUACGUAGGUGGCAAGCGUUGUCCGGAACUAUUGGGCGUAAAGGGCUCGCAGGCGGUUUCUUAAGUCUGAUGUGAAAGCCCCCGGCUCAACCGGGGAGGGUCAUUGGAAACUGGGCAACUUGAGUGCAGAAGAGGAGAGUGGAAUUCCACGUGUAGCGGUGAAAUGCGUAGAGAUGUGGAGGAACACCAGUGGCGAAGGCGACUCUCUGGUCUGUAACUGACGCUGAGGAGCGAAAGCGUGGGGAGCGAACAGGAUUAGAUACCCUGGUAGUCCACGCCGUAAACGAUGAGUGCUAAGUGUUAGGGGGUUUCCGCCCCUUAGUGCUGCAGCU